GUGGGGAAUAUUGGACAAUGGGCGAAAGCCUGAUCCAGCAACGCCGCGUGAGUGAUGAAGGCCUUCGGGUUGUAAAGCUCUGUCAGAAGGAACGAAUAAGGACGCACUAACACUGCGUCCGAUGACGGUACUUUCAAAGGAAGCACCGGCUAACUCUGUGCCAGCAGCCGCGGUAAGACAGAGGGUGCAAGCGUUGUUCGGAAUCACUGGGCGUAAAGCGUAUGUAGGCGGCGGGAUGUGUUCGGUGUGAAAGCCCUCGGCUUAACUGAGGAAGUGCAUCGAAAACUAUUCUGCUCGAGUGCGAGAGAGGGUGGCGGAAUUCCCAGAGUAGAGGUGAAAUUCGUAGAUACUGGGAGGAACACCUGAGGCGAAGGCGGCCACCUGGCUCGUAACUGACGCUGAGAUACGAAAGCGUGGGUAGCAAACAGGAUUAGAUACCCGAGUAGUCC
Molecule: ribosomal RNA, 449 nt
Filed under: uncultured bacterium
Lineage: Bacteria
Description: bacterial SSU rRNA
Rfam family: Bacterial small subunit ribosomal RNA
Source: RNAcentral